GCUCCCUCACCGUCACCGUUUUGUUUGUUGUAUUCGGAUCCGAGGUGCACCGGCCUUCUAUCGACCGUGGCGUAAUCUCCAUUCCCGGUACAACCAUAGCUUCAUGUCCUAGGUGAGCUAUGUACAUCUCUCUUCCACCCUGCUCCUAUUCAUGGCUAAACGAUGUGUGUAGUAGGCAAUAGGACCGUACGAACUUCGCGCUCUCCGUGUUGUGACUAUAGAUGCAGUGUAUGCAUACAAUUUUUUCUCAUCUCGUUCUUGGUC
This 264-nucleotide long non-coding RNA is filed under the name Hordeum vulgare. RNAcentral's name for it is "long non-coding RNA (HVUL_LNC009382)". The record is from RNAcentral. Lineage: Eukaryota; Viridiplantae; Streptophyta; Magnoliopsida; Poales; Poaceae.